UACAGAGGCCUCGAGCGUUAAUCGGAAUCACUGGGCUUAAAGGGUGCGUAGGCGGCGCUGCAAGUGCCUUGUGAAAUCCCAUCGCUUAACGAUGGAACUGCUCGGUAGACUGCAGCGCUUGAGGUUGGUAGGGGCUGCCGGAACUCUAGGUGGAGCGGUGAAAUGCGUAGAUAUCUAGAGGAACGCCCAAGGCGAAGGCAGGCAGCUGGGCCAAUUCUGACGCUGAGGCACGAAAGCGUGGGGAGCAAACGGG
RNAcentral lists this ribosomal RNA (253 nucleotides) under uncultured bacterium. Its description in RNAcentral is "partial 16S ribosomal RNA". It matches the Rfam family "Bacterial small subunit ribosomal RNA", at positions 524 to 776 of the family's 1533-position model. The record is from RNAcentral.